AGUUGCUCAGAGGUCUGGAGGAGAAAGGCAUAGAGCCCUUUCGUCAUCCUUGUUGCUUGUCUCAACCACUUUUAAGUCUGCCAACAUCUUUCUGAUCCUUAAGUAAACAGGACAAAUCACUCUGCUGGGAGGCAUGAACUCUCUGCCCUACCUUGGCCUUCUGGAAGUAACGCUGAUUGAACAACAGACAUGCAGUGGGAGGCUGAGCUCCGUUUCUCAUGCCUGUGUGGAGUGCAACUGCGGAAGGUAAUUGUAAGAUUAUUGCAUCUGAAUCAGAACCACAGGAGCAUGCAGCCUUGGCUCACCUGGGCAGUCCUGAGAGUCUGCAGGGACAGCUGCUGGGCUUUCGGGGACUCGCAGGGCAGCAAAGCUAUUAGACCUUUAUACACUUGAUUUUGGUACUUGGGAUUGCCGUGGACCAAAGAAUCCAACAGAACCUGCACUUCCUCCUGGGUCUCUUCUGACUUAGACUUUGCCAAAAAUUCUGCUAUGGAUCGUACACCUGAGCAAAGAAGAGAGGAAAUGCUAAAUUGGAAGGGAUUUAUGAAAAAAUCCCCACUCAAGAUUACAUAAUAUGAAUAGGAUUAAGAGCUCUUCAACCAAGCCUGUUCAACCAAAGCA
Molecule: long non-coding RNA, 621 nt
Filed under: Pan troglodytes (chimpanzee)
Lineage: Eukaryota; Metazoa; Chordata; Mammalia; Primates; Hominidae
Description: long non-coding RNA NONPTRT001016
Source: RNAcentral